GGGCACUGAUUGCCCGCGCCGGCCGAUCGGGCCUCAGGGGAGGGACGAGGCUGAGAGAGGGGACCCUCCAACUCCGGCCCUUCCAGGGGCGCCGGGGGACCGAAGAGAGAUUUGGGAAGGAGGGCUCUCUGGCGAGCUGGGAGGCUGUGACCUGGCCACAGGCGGCGGUCGCGGCGCGGAGGGCGCCCGAGGGUGUCCCAGGGGCCCUGGGAAGCGUUCUGGGCUCCCGCGUCUCUGCACCGUUGCAUCUCAAAGCGGGAGGACACAGUUCCGCGCCUAUGCCCAAGUGGAGGCAACUCGCCAUGCAGGGAUCUGCCUUCCUGUGGAAUGAUCUCCAAUGAUCUUCAAGUAUCUCCUGCAGACCCAGUUCUCUUGCUAAAUAAGUCACUGGAAGAUAAUUCCUGGACACACCUUGGACAGCUCCCCACAUUUCUCUAUUUGGAGCUUUGGGGUGGUAGGAAAUUGAUGCCCUCAGAAAGGACACCCCCAACCAGCAAGAAACCAGAGUUGGUGGAAAACAUCAUUUCUUCACUCUCGAUGGGACAACCUGAAGGCAUGUUCUAGUCAAUACUCCUUCUCACAGGUCCCCAACAAGAGUUAGAGACAGAGUCUCGCUCUGUUGUUCAGGCUGGAGUGCAGUGGCGCCAUCAUGGCUCACUGCAGCCUUGAACUCCUGGGCUCAAGCAAUUCUCCCACCCGAGUAGCUGGAGUAUAGGUUCUCACCAACACGCACAGCUCUUUAUCUUUGACUUUCUGUUUCAUUUCUCUAUUCCCUCAUUAUGCUUCCUGGGAUCAUUUCACAGAUAAGCUACUUGCUCCCAAAUCCUUGUCUCAGGGGCAGUCAACAGAGACAGUGGCAGAGGACCAUGGGAGAGCUAGAAUUUCAGGUCUCCAGACUCCUAGUCCAGUGCUCUUUCCAGGGUUUCUCAACCUUGGCACUAUUAACAUUUUGGACUGGAUAAUGCAUUGCUAGGGAGGGUUGACCUAUGCACCGUAGGAUGUUUAGUAGCAUCCCUGACCUUUGUCCACUAAAUGCCACUAGCAUCCUCCAGUUGGGAACAGUCAAAACUGUUUUCUGCUUUAUCAGAAGUUCCCCGGGGCAAAACACUGUGGUUGCAAACCACUAUUCCACAUCAGGCCAUCUCCCUUGCCAGGUCCAGAGAAAGAAUUUCAAGCCCCAAGAUUCCUUUCCCCUCCCUGUUGCUCUUUAGAUCACAUAAAUGAAACCACUGGAAACUGACCCCCCAAUCCUUUAUUAGAGAUGAGUGAAAUAACAAGUCUGAGAUGAAUGAAACCAGACACUGGGGGCUCAAAAGACAACCCUGUUCCUGUGGGAACCACAGACCAGUCAGGUCUCCAGGGGAAACAGCACAGCCUCCCCAGCCAGGCAGCUGUGUUGGCCAUUGGUGCUCUCUAGUCUCCCCUGCUUGGCUUGGCCCAUUCCUGCCAGGGCCCAGCACCCAGCAACUGGCAAGUUGAGAUGUUAGUGGUUGAUGAUGGCUUAGGUGUAUCUGCUUUCUCAUUGGGGCUGAGCAAUGAUAGAAUUUCUAGGGCUGGGAAGCAGAACCCUUAAGUCUCUGCCCUCCCAAUUCUAUUACUCUCCCUUCUUUCUUUGCCUCUCCAUUCCCUCAGACUAAAAGGCUCCUGAGUUGACC
This is a long non-coding RNA of Homo sapiens (human), 1655 nucleotides long. RefSeq lists it as uncharacterized. The transcript is spliced from 3 exons. NCBI's taxonomy places the organism in Eukaryota, Metazoa, Chordata, Mammalia, Primates, Hominidae. The record is from RefSeq and is a predicted model, not a curated record.